UACGUAGGGGGCAAGCGUUGUCCGGAAUCAUUGGGCGUAAAGAGCGUGUAGGCGGCCAGAUAAGUCCGCUGUGAAAUCUCGAGGCUCAACUUCGAGCUGUCGGUGGAAACUGUCUGGCUAGAGUCCGGAAGAGGAGAAUGGAAUUCCUGGUGUAGCGGUGAAAUGCGCAGAUAUCAGGAGGAACACCGGUGGCGAAGGCGGAUCUCUGGGCCUGUCCUGACGCUGAGGCGCGAAAGCUAGGGGAGCGAACAGG
RNAcentral lists this ribosomal RNA (253 nucleotides) under uncultured bacterium. RNAcentral describes it as "partial 16S ribosomal RNA". It matches the Rfam family "Bacterial small subunit ribosomal RNA", at positions 524 to 776 of the family's 1533-position model. The record is from RNAcentral.